GAGUUUGAUCAUGGCUCAGAGCGAACGCUGGCGGCAGGCUUAACACAUGCAAGUCGAGCGGGCCCUUCGGGGUCAGCGGCGGACGGGUGAGUAACGCGUGGGAACGUGCCUUCUGGUUCGGAAUAACCCUGGGAAACUAGGGCUAAUACCGGAUACGCCCUUUUGGGGAAAGGUUUACUGCCGGAAGAUCGGCCCGCGUCUGAUUAGCUAGUUGGUGGGGUAAUGGCCUACCAAGGCGACGAUCAGUAGCUGGUCUGAGAGGAUGAUCAGCCACACUGGGACUGAGACACGGCCCAGACUCCUACGGGAGGCAGCAGUGGGGAAUAUUGGACAAUGGGCGCAAGCCUGAUCCAGCCAUGCCGCGUGAGUGAUGAAGGCCUUAGGGUUGUAAAGCUCUUUUAUCCGGGACGAUAAUGACGGUACCGGAGGAAUAAGCCCCGGCUAACUUCGUGCCAGCAGCCGCCGU
Molecule: ribosomal RNA, 466 nt
Filed under: uncultured microorganism
Description: bacterial SSU rRNA
Rfam family: Bacterial small subunit ribosomal RNA
Source: RNAcentral